Molecule: transfer RNA, 88 nt
Filed under: Gammaproteobacteria bacterium
Lineage: Bacteria; Pseudomonadati; Pseudomonadota; Gammaproteobacteria
Description: tRNA-Leu
Rfam family: tRNA
About the family: Transfer RNA (tRNA) molecules are approximately 80 nucleotides in length. Their secondary structure includes four short double-helical elements and three loops (D, anti-codon, and T loops).
Source: RNAcentral
GCUCGCAUGAUGGAAUUGGUAGACAUAACGGACUUAAAAUCCGUAGGCUGUAAUGGCCGUCCCGGUUCGAAUCCGGGUGCGAGUACCA